UAGUCGCGGCGGCGUAAUCUUGCUUGGCUGGCGUUGAAGGCGCAUCUAUGGUUCACUGUGUGACACAUCUGCGGUGUACCACACAUCACGAAAAAUAUUCCAUAUAUGUAGUUUGUUUAUAUAUAUAUAUAUAUUGUUGUCGAAUAAAACUAAGCAUACCAAAAUCUACCCAUCCACGGAAUCUUAGUGGAAAAGGCUGCCAGAAGACGCUGUGCAGAGCGAUUCGGCAUUCACGCACAGCUUUCACACACGCGCACACGUACACGUACAUCCCUCUCGUCUGUCUCUCUCUUCCUUCUCCCGCUUUGGAUAAUUUUAGGGGAGCAACGGGGCUGAAGAGUAACAUGGGCAGUUCAAGCAGCAGACAGACGCCGCUGCCGGCGCGGUCCGCGAAUACUGCUGCCACAGCCGAGGUGACGGCAAACACGACCGACUAUCAGGAGUACAUCAAGUUUCGUGACCAGCUUCUGGACUUUGCUCUCGGGGAGAGUGCCUUCGACUACACCGAGCGCCUCUUCGCCCAGAAGCCGGACAGCCCCGAAGUCAUGGCGCUACUAGCAGAGACCACCUUUUUGUAUGAUAAGACCAAAAACAAGGUAUCGCGCGAGCACUGGUGCGAUCGUCUGGACCUGCUGCAGCGCGGCGUCGACGUGAGCCGUAAGUGCAUCAACGAGAACAAGGAUUACGGCCCGUGCUAUCGCACCUACGUCAUGUGCGCCACACGCGAGGCGGAGGCACUCUACUACAUGAAGAGUUUCACGGGACUGGGGCUUGUGGAAAACUACCAGGCCAUCAUGCGGAAGGGCGUCAAGGGGAUGGAGCUGCUGCCAACGGACGCGGAAAUUCCCAACACCCUUGGCGCUCUGUGUGCGCGCUGUUGCUUCCGUUGGUACGACCCGUCGCGUGUGUACGCGUGGUUCUACGGGCUGCCAACGACGCGCAGGCUGCGUGAGCUGAGCGUGGACUUCCACAAGAAAGCGUGUGAGAACGACCCCAAGAACCUUGAGUACGCCUGCCGUUUGGCGCAGGCCUACUUCCAGCUAGGCGAUCUGGCGAACGCGCGGCGAUGGUAUGUGAAGGUGCGCGAUGAGAUGCCGCCGCAGGAGCUGAAGGAUGAGAAGUGGCAGGGCGUAGCACACACGCAGUUGUCCACGGCCUUUGUGAAGCCCAAGUGGAAUGUGCCGUUUGCUUAACCUGAACUGUCGAGUGUGUGCGCGUGUGUGUAGAACACGGUGGCGGCAGGGGAAGGGGUGGGGAGCCAGCGAGGCUGCGGAGGGCGGUGGUUGGCGCUGUUGUUGUUGUUUUUUUUUUGUUCGUGCUACUGAUGUGGGCUGUUCUCACCGCCUGCGUUGUUGACCUUCGCUCUUUUCUUUCUUCUGUGGCUCCCCGCGCGCCCUUCCGAUGACUGCUCUUCUCCCUCCUUAUCUCACGUUUCACAGCUGACGAUGGUGGUGCGGGUGUGAUGACGGCGUGUCAACGACCGUGCCCUGCCGCAGUGGCAGCAGCAGCCGGGGGAGGGGCUCACUCCAUUUGGGUUCUUCUGUUCUCCUUUUCUUAGGUUGUCCUUUUCACCUUUCACUUCCUCUGUUGGCCAGUUUUUCACUCUCCACCUCAGAACUGCAUACAGGCGAACAGCACGGUUGUGAUUUACCUCGAUUUUUCUUGGCGCCGACCCGAGUCCAGUGCUGGGGCGUUCACAUCGCGAAGAGACUGCGUGAAGCGACGAAGCGAAGAGUGAGGCAGGAGAGAGAAGGUGGUGACGCUGCAGCUCUCACCACCACCAUCUGCCUUCGACUUCUCUGCUAUCGAAGUGCUCUACUCUCUUUUUCGUCCUCCGCCUUGCCUCCUCUUCCUGUGUGGGAAGCGUGCGCCUGCCAUUGUGUGUGCGGGCGCAUGCGUGAUGCCCAUUUGAAUGAAGUGGUGGCGGUGCAUGCUGGACGCUGUGGGGGCGAGAUUUGUGGUGGCCAUGCGUACGCGCCGGUACACUGCCGUCGCGCACACCGCACUUUUCCUCUCUCUCUCUCACUCACGGUCUGCGCCUUUCUUCCUCUCACCCGACGCCUGACGGACGCUGCUUUCGUUCGCGGCGUGUCGUCUUGUUCUCAAUCGCUCCUCAUAAUCGCCCUAUCAUCCCUACUUUUGUGUGUGUGCACGCGCUUCGUAACCGCACCGCGUUCACGUUCUCUGUUGUACUCUCCGGAGCAG
RNAcentral lists this unclassified non-coding RNA (2205 nucleotides) under Leishmania donovani. RNAcentral's name for it is "gene:LdHU3.36.6280(CDS-product:hypothetical_prote in_conserved)". The record is from RNAcentral. Lineage: Eukaryota; Euglenozoa; Kinetoplastea; Trypanosomatida; Trypanosomatidae.